GUUCCUGAGCUAACCGUCCGCGACGUUCACAGCGCGAGCUCCCUCUGCAAAAUGUACUUCAGGGAGCUCCCGACCCCCCUGCUGACCGACCAGCUGUACGACAAGUUCUCGGAUGCUGUUGGUGCCACUACGGAGGAGGAGCGGCUGGUCAGAAUGCGGGACACCAUCCAGCAGCUGCCCGCUCCUCACUACAGGACCCUGGCGU
This is a long non-coding RNA of Tympanuchus pallidicinctus (lesser prairie-chicken), 205 nucleotides long. RefSeq lists it as uncharacterized. Lineage: Eukaryota; Metazoa; Chordata; Aves; Galliformes; Phasianidae. The transcript is spliced from 3 exons. The record is from RefSeq and is a predicted model, not a curated record.